RNAcentral lists this long non-coding RNA (890 nucleotides) under Vitis vinifera (wine grape). Its description in RNAcentral is "long non-coding RNA (VVIN_LNC003725)". The record is from RNAcentral. Lineage: Eukaryota; Viridiplantae; Streptophyta; Magnoliopsida; Vitales; Vitaceae.
UGAAGGUGGCUUGCUCAAUCGUGAAAGUUGUCAUUUGAGAGUAGACUGUCCAAAAGAGGAUACAUGUGGACCAGAUGGGAAGGAGCUUUAUUACCAUCUUCACCUCUUCAACUUGGUUCACUGUAGAAACUAUCCAAGGGUUGUCCUUGUUUCCACUGGCAGAAUAAUAGUCUUCUAGGAUUGCAGCCUUGUCGAGACACCUAAUCAAUCACAUGCACAAUGAAAUUGAGAUCUUAAUUCAAUUAAACAAAUCAAUGAGAAGUUGAUAUGUAUUAAAUUUUAGCCACUUGACAAGGACAUUAUUUUAUAUGAAUUGGGUUCUCCGGGACAUUAUGAAUGCAUGGUUCGAGAGAGUAUGGAUGAUGUUCUAUAGUACGGAUUCAAGUGGCUGGGCAUAUUAUGGUGGUGAAAAGGGUCAUAAUUGGCCAAAUUGGGUGACACACUGUCUGAAUUGUGUGACUUCGGAAAGAAUGAGAAUCAAUGGAAUUUUUAUUCCUUUCUUGACAGAAACAUGGAAGUUCUUGCUUUUUAUAGUUUUGUAAUUGCAAUUUCACAGGACAAAAUUUGAAUUUGGAGAAAUAGAGUAAAAGAAGACUCAGGUUUAUGUGAAGUCCCCGAUUGAAGCUAAUUUCUCACCAAAGAGUUGUUUAAAUCCAUGUUACUCUUUCUCACUAUGUUAGACAAUAUGAAAUGGGUUUAUGAACUUGGGAUAUUCAUACAGAACUGUAAGAAGUCAUGGUUACCUGAAUCUUUGAGUGUGAGAGACCUUGGCAUUGUGGUACUCGUUCAACAAACUGGGAUGAGAAGGAUAAGGGAGGUUCCUCUUCCUCCAAGCCAAGAAUAUGACUCUCCAUAUGACAGUUAAAGGGCUACCUCGAGGCAUCUUGAAU